Molecule: long non-coding RNA, 978 nt
Organism: Eriocheir sinensis (Chinese mitten crab)
Lineage: Eukaryota; Metazoa; Arthropoda; Malacostraca; Decapoda; Varunidae
Exons: 4
Source: RefSeq, a predicted model, not a curated record
CGAUCGCCAAUAGAGUCGGUCUGUCGGCACGUCCUGCCUCUAGCAAUGGCCGGUGCUCCCCCGUGCAAGGAGGGAGCAAUGUUUUCCCUCCUGACGGCCGCCGUCUUCGGACAAGGGCCCGUUGUCCCCUAGUGAUACUAGGCGACAAAUCUUUGAAGAAGUAUCGGAGACGCCGUUGCAAAGACAAAGGCAAGAACAUCAUCAUCAUCAUCAUCAGGAUCUACAUGUAAACAAUCAGGCCGCGUGUGACACCCUCAGCCCCACGCUGGCCAGGCGCGGCGCCCCACACACCAGAACACUUCCUGCCACGGCUACACUCCCCCACACCAGCCGCAAGGCAGCCCCAGCCAGGCUCCACACCCUCAGGUCAGCCUGUGACACCCUCAGGGGAAUGCUCACGUUUUUGGGAUUGCUUCAAAGCUUGACGAGACACCUCUCCCAGGCUCCCUCCUUCACGCAGGACCACCCCUGGAGGAGGACUCCCUGGAGCCUGCCAAGGAGUACAGGGAUGCUGACAUCAAUGAGGCUAUACACGAUUAUGAACCAGUUGGUGAAGGGCUGGAGCCUCCUCUGAGCACCCCUGUGUGACAGUACAGCUGGUGAACCCACUCAGGACCAGAAGGUUGAUGAGGGUAAUCUUGAGAGCCAGCACCAGACCCUGGCGCCUCCUCCACCCCGGCCAGGAUCCCUCCCCCAGGGCCCAUGGAGCCACCAGAGGUAAGGCACCAUCAGGCAUCCCUUCCCUGUUUGUAAUUUUUGGAAUGUCUUCAGAAGUGACUUGUUUCAUUUCCUUUUGAUUUCUAUUCAAAGUGAUUUUCCUGUAUUUGAAUUUCAGACCAAGCAUUUUGCAAGGUCUUCAGACAAAGCCUAACAAAAUAUUGUGCCUUCCAUUUUUUUUUCUAUAACCCAAAAAAAAUGUGACUAAUUGUGUAAAAGUGUGCCCAGGUCAUAGCUGGGCACGAUAACAGAAAACCUUAU